This 314-nucleotide ribosomal RNA is filed under the name uncultured bacterium. Its description in RNAcentral is "bacterial SSU rRNA". It matches the Rfam family "Bacterial small subunit ribosomal RNA", at positions 28 to 334 of the family's 1533-position model. The record is from RNAcentral.
GAUGAACGCUAGCUACAGGCUUAACACAUGCAAGUCGAGGGGCAGCAUGAACUUAGCUUGCUAAGUUUGAUGGCGACCGGCGCACGGGUGAGUAACACGUAUCCAACCUGCCGAUGACUCGGGGAUAGCCUUUCGAAAGAAAGAUUAAUACCCGAUGGCAUAGUUCUUCCGCAUGGUAGGACUAUUAAAGAAUUUCGGUCAUCGAUGGGGAUGCGUUCCAUUAGCUUGUUGGCGGGGUAACGGCCCACCAAGGCAUCGAUGGAUAGGGGUUCUGAGAGGAAGGUCCCCCACACUGGUACUGAGACACGGACCAG